RNAcentral lists this ribosomal RNA (198 nucleotides) under Candidatus Omnitrophota bacterium. RNAcentral describes it as "Candidatus Omnitrophica bacterium partial 23S ribosomal RNA". It matches the Rfam family "Bacterial large subunit ribosomal RNA", at positions 2731 to 2925 of the family's 2925-position model. Lineage: Bacteria; Pseudomonadati; Candidatus Omnitrophota. The record is from RNAcentral.
AGUGGCAUUUGCUGGGUAGCUAUGUUCGGAAAGGAUAAGCGCUGAAUGCAUAUAAGCGCCAAGCCUCCCCUAAGAUAAAAUAUCCCUCUCCUUCAUGGAGAUAAGGCACCUUGUAGACUACGAGGUUGAUAGGCCAGGUGUGUAAGGCCCGUAAGGGUUUCAGCUGACUGGUACUAAUCUGCCGAAAGGCUUGGCCAC